CAAUAACGUAUAUUAAAGUUAAUGCGUUUAAAAAACUCGCAGUUGGAUUUCUGCCAGGGGCGACGGGUCCGCCCUCUGAGUGUAUUUGGCUCGGCCUGGGCAUCUUCUUGGAGAACGUAGCUGCACUUGAUUGUGUGGUGCGGUAUCCAAGAUUUUUGCUUUGAAGAAAUUAGAUUGUUUCAAGCAGGCACACGCCUUGAAUACAUUAGCAUGGAAUACUAAGAUAGGACCUCGGUUCAAUUUUGUUGGUUUCUAGAGCUGCAUUGUGAUUAAUAACGAUAAUUGGGGGCAUUCGUACUUAACUGUCAGAAGUGAAAUUCUUGGAUUUGUUAAAGACGGAAUACUGCGAAAGCAGUUGCCAAGAAUGCUUUCAUUGAUCAAGGAUGAACGUUAGGGGAUCGAAGACGAUCAGAUACCAU
This 419-nucleotide ribosomal RNA is filed under the name uncultured eukaryote. RNAcentral's name for it is "bacterial SSU rRNA". It matches the Rfam family "Eukaryotic small subunit ribosomal RNA", at positions 592 to 1018 of the family's 1831-position model. The record is from RNAcentral.